AACGGGUAUGGUUGGUGGAGACACCACCCACUAGAACUGAUUAUUUGCAGUUGAUAAGGACGGAAGUAACAAUGACUAAUGGAAGAAAGACUUUUUGUGGUCUAGCCACUGACCACACAGGACACAGCCAGUUCCAGCGAUGACACAACAGCAGCCACAUGGAGACUCAUCAACACUUAUCCAACAGUAUACGGCGAUCUCUAUCUUCGUCGCCUCCAUCUUCUUAACAGCGUCAACAUCAUCUCUCUACGUACACAGCAACCAGCAAUACUCGCAUAGG
This is a long non-coding RNA of Octopus bimaculoides (California two-spot octopus), 280 nucleotides long. RefSeq lists it as uncharacterized. The record is from RefSeq and is a predicted model, not a curated record. NCBI's taxonomy places the organism in Eukaryota, Metazoa, Mollusca, Cephalopoda, Octopoda, Octopodidae.